GAUGAACGCUGGCGGCGUGCCUAACACAUGCAAGUUGAACGGGGCAAUAUUAACGGAUUCCUUCGGGAUGAAGACUAUAUUGGCUAGUGGCAAACGGGUGAGUAACACGUGAGUAAUCUACCUUUAACUGGGGAACAACCUAGAGAAAUCUAGGCUAAUACCGCAUAUGCUUACAAGACCGCAUGGUCAAGUAAGGAAAGAUUUAUCGGUUAAAGAUGAGCUCGCGUCUGAUUAGUUAGUUGGUGGGGUAAUGGCUCACCAAGACCGCAAUCAGUAACCGGCCUGAGAGGGCGGACGGUCACACUGGGACUGAGAUACGGCCCAGACUCCUACGGGAGGCAGCAGUGGGGAAUAUUGCACAAUGGACGAAAGUCUGAUGCAGCGACGUCGCGUGAAGGAUGAAGUAUUUCGGUACGUAAACUUCAAGCAGCAGGGACGAAACAAUGACGGUACCUGACUAAAAGCACCGGCUAACUACGUGCCAGCCGCCGCUGUAAAACCU
RNAcentral lists this ribosomal RNA (502 nucleotides) under uncultured bacterium. RNAcentral describes it as "bacterial SSU rRNA". It matches the Rfam family "Bacterial small subunit ribosomal RNA", at positions 28 to 528 of the family's 1533-position model. The record is from RNAcentral.